GAAUUUUAAACAUAGAAAUUGAAAAGGUUCGAAUGACUCUUAAUUGGCUAUUUUAUUCAAACCGUAGAACUAAAUUUAGAGAGUAUUUUAAAAAAUGUGAUGAAUAUGGCCUUAGAGAAAGAAAUGUUCCUAAACCUUGCCCGACCAGGUGAAAUUGUAUGUACGAAAGUUUAGUAGUUGCGGUAUGAAUAUAGAAACUCAAUUAAUGCAACGUUUAAUUCUCGGGUAGGUGGUGAGGAUGAUGAUGAAUUGCCCGACUAGGUGGAAUUGUAUGUACGAAAGUUUAGUAGUUACGUAUGAAUAUAGAAACCCAAUUAUGCAUCAGUCUUUCGCUACUCGUGUGACCCCGCCUCAUGGCUUUCAGAAGGGCCAGUUUAAUUCUCGGGUAGGUGGUGAGGAUGAUGAUGAAAUGCUUACUACCCAAGAUUGGAC
RNAcentral lists this long non-coding RNA (432 nucleotides) under Nicotiana benthamiana. RNAcentral's name for it is "long non-coding RNA (NBEN_LNC040889)". Lineage: Eukaryota; Viridiplantae; Streptophyta; Magnoliopsida; Solanales; Solanaceae. The record is from RNAcentral.